Molecule: long non-coding RNA, 5457 nt
Filed under: Sus scrofa (pig)
Lineage: Eukaryota; Metazoa; Chordata; Mammalia; Artiodactyla; Suidae
Description: lncRNA (ENSSSCG00060033365.1)
Source: RNAcentral
AGACUCCUCUAGAUUGGAUCAGUGCUAGCGGUCAGGUUUCCAUGUAGUCGCGAAAUGGUGACCUGGAAGAAAAUAGCCACAGAGCCACUUUUUAAACUGCCACACCAUUAUUUGUACCACAUUCUCCCAAAGGCAGAACGUUCAGCAGUCCUGCUUUUCCAGCCUUCAUUUCACCUCCAUCCUGCUUCCUGUCAGUGCCCUCCAGUAAAAUCCCACAGGAACACACCUGUAUUUGAGUAAAGCCAUACUGAAGAAGUUUUAUUCAGGAGACAGACUGAGAAGAGAGCCAGAUUACCUCCUGGGACUUUUCAAAAAUGCCUCAUCCCAAGGAACGCCCCAAGGGUCUAGAACUGCCCAUCCCAGGUCAACUGGGAAGAAGGAAAGACAAGAAAAGAACGUACAACCUGCAAAUAAUAGUAAGGGAGUAAGUGGAAAUAUGAAAUAAAUACUGAUGCGCCUGCCCCAUCUGGUCACACAGUGCUUUGAAGAAAGGCCCUUCCUUUGGGGAAAAUGACAAAGAAUUCGGCCUUCAUCAUCAAUGCUGGAGAAUAAGACAGACCUGUUCACUUCCCCUUCGGCAUGUGACGUUUGGAACACAGAUUUACGUGAGGAGCAGGAAAAGAUCAUCUCGGGCUCCUGCUGCUGCUGUCCAGCCUCCCUGGCUCUGUGCGAAGAGUGUCCUCCCACGGCACCUGGACGUCCCACCUUUGAGAGAGAUUUGCACACACCGUGACCCACGAGCAGGUCCUUGGGGCCAGAAGGAGCCUCCACUGUCAGCACAAGAGCACCACCGCCAAGUCAGACAGCUUCUUGGGUAAGUGACCUGUGCAAUUGGACAGGACCCCAUACUUAGAAGAGCGCUGUGCUUGGUUAAAUCGCAGCUGUCACUGUCUUAAAACCCUCCAAAAUUUUAUCCUUGAACUUGAGAGAUCCAGUGGGACAAGGGAGCAUGUGACGUAAGAGAUAUGCUCAGUGAGGUGUGUCCCUGUUGCUUGCUGCCACAUUCACAUGGAGCUCUGGGAUUGCCCCACGAGUAUAGCGUCCUGGUGGACCCACCACAUGUGGGAGGUCAGAAGACUCAACGCAAGUACAAGGUAAGCAUGUUAUGGGAGGCAUCUGCUUUCCAAGUGUGGUAGAAUGUGCACCAAUUGAGUUAGUUUUGUCAAAUGCUUCCAGUGUUCUGGUAAGAAUUAAAUUCAUAUGCGUGUAUGUGCUAUGAAAUCAAAUAAUUACAGUGAUCUGCACCCAAGUUAAAUGCUUUUAUAUUUGCAUUUAAAACUGGCAUUCCACAACAUAAAGGUGAGUGGUAUAAUUCAUGCUAAUAAUGUAAAAUUUUUAUGUACCCAAAAAUGACAUCAGACAGCAAAUAAAAAAUAUCAUGAGAGACUGGUGGAAGAAAGGAAAACAUUCUAUAUUUUAGCACCUUUAGUCACCUUUUUUCUUGCUUUUUGAACUCGGGGCCUCAUAUUGGUAUUGUACACGUAACAAUACCCAUUUCCUAAUUCAUCUCCAAAUGAUGGACACCCUGUCUCUACCAAGAAUGAAUCCAUCCCACUCCCUUCUCUCACUGGAACAAAGAGAGAAGAUUCUCCCUCCAUUUUUGCCCUAAGAAAAGAUCUGUCCUUCCAAGACCAUGGUUAAUACAUUCAGUUGAUUUCAUGAUUCAGAUUUCAUUUGUUCAAAAAAUAUUUGUGUGCUUAGAUAGCUAAACUUUAAUUAAUAAAAUGGUCAAUAUUUGCCCAAGAGAAGAGCUACCUCUUCUACCCUGUUUCUGACAUAGCAGAAAAUUCCUGCUGAAAUGGAGGGAUCUCAGUUCAAAGAAACAUCACUAUUGAAACUCGAGGACAGGGCUCUGGAGCAACUACCCUUCAGCAAACCUCACCCACAGCCAGAAGCUAAUGAUUUCCAGAGAUGGCCACAGCAAAGAAUUCACAGGAACAUGGGUCAUUGUGUCAAGGAUCAUGUCAAAAAGACAAGGUCACCAGUUCCAAAUAUUUCAGAGGUGAAAGGUUGUUCUUAUAAAUACUGCAUCCUCCAGAUUCAGCACGCCAUUGUAUGCUCCGUCAUAAUUUGAUGGGCCACCAGCUGUCAUUAGCAGGGCCUCCAUCCAAGUGAAAUUCCUCAGUCUUCACUAGCCAGAUGUCACUCUUACAUCAUGGUUGACAGCUUCUUGCAGGAGUGGACACGGUCAGGUUUUUGCCGCUAGAAUCCACUGAAUCAGUGGUUCACAAAGUGCAGUUCAGGGGCCCUAGGGAUUCUGGAGACCCUUCCUGUGGGUUCAUCCGAUGAAAAGUAUUUUCGUAAUAAUACCAAAAAGUUAUUUUUGUUUUUCACUUUUAUUCUCUUGAGUUGACAGUGUGGUUUCCUAAAGGCUAUUUUCAUUGUUCUGUUGGCUAACAAAUGGAAUAUGUAUUCUUGUAUUUUAAAACUUUCUCCAUUUUUAUGUCCAAUAUGGUUAAUAUUUGUAAGUAUGAUCCAGAUAAACAUCAGCUCUCUUAGUCAUCAAUAAUUUUUAAGAAUGUAAAGGGGCUCUAAGACCAGAAAGUGUAAGAAGGGCUAGACUAAGUGAAGUAGGUAUCCACCACCUUUCAGAUUUUUUCAGAGAUGAGUCUGCUUUCUCCUUACCAAGAAAAUUCUUUCCCACAAUCUUAGCAGGUACAGCGAUUCUUAUGAGAUUGUCAUGCCAAUGCCGAACAGGCAAACGCUGUGACUCAGCCUUGAUCACUUUGACAAACAAUGCUAAAGGUAUACACCUCUGGACUUUGCAAAGUGACUCUUCAUAUGACACACUGCAACCAUGUUUUGUGUAAGCAAUAAGAUUUUAAAUGUCUUUGCAUAAAGUUCUAGUAUAUAUUAAUUUUUAAAAUAAGUUUUAAAAUAUUGCCUUGUGUCCACAAACCAAAAAAAAAAAAAUGUAAAUAAAUGGCAUCUGACAGAGCUGGUACCUGGAAGAGGGAAUCUCCACUACUUCCUAAAGAAUAUCUUCAACACACAGGUAGAUACAUGCGUGCACACACACACACACACACACACACGCACACACACACAAAAUCCUUCAUGCACACAUAUGGUAUUUAAUGCAUACCCGUGACCGAACAACCAAUGCUUUUACCUUUUCAUGAACUAUGAGUCAUUCCCCUGCUCCAGAGAGGGUUUUCUGAGCUUCAUAAAUAUUGACCAUACUCCCUAAAUUCUAACAGGCGAUUUCCUUAAAUAUGAAAGCUGCUUCUCAACUUUACUCUUUAUGUUCUAUAUUCAAUCACAUGUUGACUACCAUGGAAGGAAAAAAUAUUCCAUAUAGAUGAAUACUCCUGAUAACCAAAGCUUAGCCACUUCAAGUCCCAAGACGUACUUUCAUUCAUUCAUUUAUUCAUUCAAAAACAAUCCUAGACCACAAGCCAGGAAUUGUGACCCUCAGAAUACAGUGACAAAUAAAGCAAAAUGUACCCUCAAAAUAGUUUACAUUCUACUGGAUCUUGAAUAGAAUUUGUUCUAAAAUCUAUCUGAAAUUCCUAAAAAGGGAGGUAUGUGAAGAAAAUAUUAGACAUCUGAUUUCACUUUUAUCUUAUUAUGUUUUAUGAUGUAAAUGAUAUACGAGUUUAGUAGCACAUGCAUAAAUUAGAAAUAAAUAAAAAUACACAUCUGUUGAAAGUGAGCACCCUUCAAAUGUUUACUAAUGAGGUGUGCAGUGAAAACAGGUUAGGAAUCCAGAGCACAUUUUGGGAGGCCUCCUUUUUGAAAAAAAGCCCUCCGUCUGUCAUCCUGCUGGACCCUUUCUUGGCCCCUCAGCAGCUGCUUGGGAGUUAAUCAUAAAAUUAGGAGAUGCUCUCAGCCGGUGAUGCCCUAGACCUCUUCUUUCACAGAAGCAGCAAGACCCAGAACAAUAUACAGUUCGCCUGAGCCAUCGCCCAGUGUGGCGAAGGAGCUGGAGAUGUUGCUGAAAGUGUGAUUCUGAGUCACCAUCCCCGUGGGUGGGGCCUCCUGGAAAUGCAGAGUCCUGGGCUGAGGAAUUUCCCAGGUCUGCCCUAACAGCAAGGUCCCCAGGACACUUCCAAGCACUCUAGGGGUGGAGAACCCAGGAGAGGGCAGGUGGGUGCGUGGCCAAGGCCUCCGUGGCGCAGGGGCCAGCCUCUCCCCUUGGCACGUGCGGUCGUCUUUGCCGUUGAAGGGAACCGUGGUGUGGGGAGCAGCUGCGCCGCGCUCUUUGACCCGCCGGGCUGUGCAUUGCUGAUGUUGCUAAUUCUGAGGCCGCCUUUCAGGGGCUUGUUUUCCUCUCUCCCUUUGCUGUCAGGCGGUUUGCCGUCAUUUCUCGCCGACUUCAGCGUGAUCACUACUGGUCUCUCUUCCCUCCUUCCUUGUCCCCCUCUCAUUUUCUGCUUUGACUCCGCUGUGGGCUGGGAGACUACACAAAUGGGCUGUUAGGCGUGUGUGUUAAUUAAGAGUCAAUUAGACAGAGUUAAAGUGCAUUGCUUUGUGACUGGUGUUUCCGCUGCUUCCAGCCUGUUUUGCUUCCUUCCUGCGUCUCCACCGAGUUCCAGGAGGCGGAUUGAGGGGCGCCUGACCUCCGGAUAAGUGGGGCACUAGGAUAUUUACUUUCUUGUCACAUUUCACUGCUGUCAAAGCUCAGAGGGUCUGGCCAGCCCCCCGGGGGAGCCAGUGGGCUUAAUAAUUCAGGACACCUGGGGCUGACCCGCUCCUCCGACGUUUCUCUGGGCUCAGAGUGAUUUACGCCAAGAAGGGCUGGGAUCCAGGAGGCAGGAGGAAGGGGCCGAGCUCUCCAGGGUGGACCAGGAAGAAGGAUCCUCUGAGAAAUACGCUAAUUUCCAGUUCCAGAAGGGCCUAGGCCUGUCCCCCUCUAAUAGCUGCCUGGAAUCUCAGCUGUGACACCCACUAGGGUAUCUGAAUGGGGCUCGUAGAGGUGGGAGGAACGAAGCAUGAUCAUGGGAGGGGUGCCAUCUCUAGCCUAGAAGGCAUAAUCAAUAGAUUUAACACUCGGGUUCAUGCCACACAAAAUAAUGCUCUUUAAAUAAUAAUAAAAAAACCCUUCAGUGUAUAACAGUAUCUUUGGAGCCUACGCUUUAUUUAUCUACGAUGCCAUUGUUCCAUGAUGUCAAGACAGUCGUGGAGAUCAUAAAAUUUUCAUUCUCAUCUUGCAGUGAGAAAUGAAAAUUAAUUGUCCUCAUGAUGCCGCAGGACCCUGCACCCUCCAUUGAUUACACAUAAAUACACAAUCUUUUGAAUGCAGACAACUCUUUUGUCUUUCCAAAGUUAUAAAAUGACAAAAGUAAAAACGAAGUGGGAACCCAAAGUCAAUGUUAUUUUACUUCAUGGGGUUCUGUGUUUCUUGUGAGCUAAUUUCUUGUUUUUCCCAGGAAAGGUAAUAGCUUUAGCUAAUAGCCCACAUCGGGACAUGCAUGACUGAAGCUGAAGUGUGUGUUUAUUUCAAAAAAAAAAAAA